UACGUAGGGGGCUAGCGUUGUCCGGAAUCAUUGGGCGUAAAGAGCGUGUAGGCGGUCCGGUAAGUCCGCUGUGAAAGUCGGGGGCUCAACCCUCGAAUGCCGGUGGAAACUGUCGGGCUAGAGUCCGGAAGAGGCGAGUGGAAUUCCUGGUGUAGCGGUGAAAUGCGCAGAUAUCAGGAGGAACACCGAUGGCGAAGGCAGCUCGCUGGGACGGUACUGACGCUGAGGCGCGAAAGCGUGGGGAGCAAACAGG
Molecule: ribosomal RNA, 253 nt
Filed under: uncultured bacterium
Lineage: Bacteria
Description: partial 16S ribosomal RNA
Rfam family: Bacterial small subunit ribosomal RNA
Source: RNAcentral